Molecule: ribosomal RNA, 492 nt
Filed under: uncultured bacterium
Lineage: Bacteria
Description: partial 16S ribosomal RNA
Rfam family: Bacterial small subunit ribosomal RNA
Source: RNAcentral
AGUGAACGCUGGCGGUAGGCCUAACACAUGCAAGUCGAACGGCAGCACAGUAAGAGCUUGCUCUUACGGGUGGCGAGUGGCGGACGGGUGAGGAAUACAUCGGAAUCUACUUUUUCGUGGGGGAUAACGUAGGGAAAUUUACGCUAAUACCGCAUACGACCUACGGGUGAAAGCAGGGGAUCUUCGGACCUUGCGCGAUUGAAUGAGCCGAUGUCGGAUUAGCUAGUUGGCGGGGUAAAGGCCCAACAAGGCGACGAUCCGUAGCUGGUCUGAGAGGAUGAUCAGCCACACUGGAACUGAGACACGGUCCAGACUCCUACGGGAGGCAGCAGUGGGGAAUAUUGGACAAUGGGCGCAAGCCUGAUCCAGCCAUACCGCGGGGGUGAAGAAGGCCUUCGGGUGGUAAAGCCAUUUUGUUGGGAAAGAAAAGCAGCAGGUUAAUACCCCGCUGUUCUGACGGUACCCAAAGAAUAAGCACCGGCUAACUUCGUG